GUCAGGGACAGCUGUGAGCCAGCCAGGGGGCAAGCGUAGACGGGGUUUUACCAUGUUGGCUAGGCGGGUCUUGAACUCCUGACCUCAAGCGAUUCCCCUGCCUCGACCUCCCAAAGUGCUAGGAUUAUAGGCACGAGCCACCGCCCCCAGCCCAAGAUAUGUUUUAGUAAGCCGCCAGUUGGAUCAUCUGUAAGCAACUCACUAGAAGCUUCCAGCAUCCUCCACAAAUUUGACAACUGAGAAAUGUGGCUGGGAAAUCAUGAUUUGGGUCCGAAGAAGUGAAAGCAACAAUCCUCAGGUUGUUGUUUCUUGAGAGAAGAAGGUAAACAGCAGGAAUUCGGCUGAGGUGUCCAAAUCUCGGGGAGGAUGAAUUCUCAGGAGAGCUGAACCUGAGACAAAGCCCUUUGUCCUGGGCUGGAAGGACCCUGGAAAGGUUAUCUGGUCCCUGACUCAGGGAAGGGAGGCAUUCUCCCUGCAGGAAUGUUCUCGAUCACAGUCCACCACCACCCCCCUACCCCCGCCCACUUUUGGAGUCCAUCUUCGCAGCCCUUGAUGAUUCAUUUUAUGUCAGCUUGACGGGCUAAGGGAUGCUCAGAUAGCUGGGAAAACGUGAUUUCUGGGUGGCUCUGGGAAGAGACUGGCAUCUGAACCGGGGGACUGAGUAAGAAGAUCCCUCCUCGCCAGGUGGGGCACCAUCACUCAAUCUGUUGAAAGCCCGGACAGAACAAAGAGACAGAGGCAGAGGCAGGCAAACCCUCCCUCUGCAAGAGCUGGGACAUCCAGGCUGGGCGCGGUGGCUCACGCCUGUAAUCCCAGCACUUUGGGAGGCCGAGGCAGGUGGAUCACCUGAGCUCAAGAGUUUGAGACCAGGCCAACAUGGUGAAACCCCAUCUCUACUAAAAAUACAAAAAUGACCCGGGCGUGGUGGCGCACACCUACAGUCCC
This is a long non-coding RNA of Homo sapiens (human), 945 nucleotides long. The record is from Ensembl. Lineage: Eukaryota; Metazoa; Chordata; Mammalia; Primates; Hominidae.